CGCGGGGUGGAGCAGCCUGGUAGCUCGUCGGGCUCAUAACCCGAAGGUCGUCGGUUCAAAUCCGGCCCCCGCAAGCA
This 77-nucleotide transfer RNA is filed under the name Escherichia coli. Its description in RNAcentral is "tRNA-Met". It matches the Rfam family "tRNA". Rfam says of the family: Transfer RNA (tRNA) molecules are approximately 80 nucleotides in length. Their secondary structure includes four short double-helical elements and three loops (D, anti-codon, and T loops). Further hydrogen bonds mediate the characteristic L-shaped molecular structure. tRNAs have two regions of fundamental functional importance: the anti-codon, which is responsible for specific mRNA codon recognition, and the 3' end, to which the tRNAs corresponding amino acid is attached (by aminoacyl-tRNA synthetases). tRNAs cope with the degeneracy of the genetic code in two manners: having more than one tRNA (with a specific anti-codon) for a particular amino acid; and 'wobble' base-pairing, i.e. permitting non-standard base-pairing at the 3rd anti-codon position. Lineage: Bacteria; Pseudomonadati; Pseudomonadota; Gammaproteobacteria; Enterobacterales; Enterobacteriaceae. RNAcentral also lists the same sequence under 2 other names. The record is from RNAcentral.